GCGGGUGUAGCUCAAUGGUAGAGCGACAGCCUUCCAAGCUGAUGACGAGGGUUCGAUUCCCUUCACCCGCUCCA
This 74-nucleotide transfer RNA is filed under the name Rhodospirillales bacterium. RNAcentral's name for it is "tRNA-Gly". It matches the Rfam family "tRNA". Rfam says of the family: Transfer RNA (tRNA) molecules are approximately 80 nucleotides in length. Their secondary structure includes four short double-helical elements and three loops (D, anti-codon, and T loops). The record is from RNAcentral. Lineage: Bacteria; Pseudomonadati; Pseudomonadota; Alphaproteobacteria; Rhodospirillales.